RNAcentral lists this ribosomal RNA (253 nucleotides) under uncultured bacterium. Its description in RNAcentral is "partial 16S ribosomal RNA". It matches the Rfam family "Bacterial small subunit ribosomal RNA", at positions 524 to 776 of the family's 1533-position model. The record is from RNAcentral.
GACAGAGGGUGCAAACGUUGUUCGGAAUUACUGGGCGUAAAGCGCGUGUAGGCGGCUUGGCAAGUCGGGUGUGAAAGCCCUGGGCUCAACCUAGGAAGUGCACUCGAAACUGCUUCGCUGGAGUGUCGGAGAGGAAAGCGGAAUUCUCGGUGUAGAGGUGAAAUUCGUAGAUAUCGGGAGGAACACCAGUGGCGAAGGCGGCAGCCUGGACCGAUACUGACGCUGAGGUGCGAAAGCGUGGGGAGCAAACAGG